Molecule: transfer RNA, 76 nt
Filed under: bacterium
Lineage: Bacteria
Also listed under: 3 other names
Description: tRNA-Ala
Rfam family: tRNA
About the family: Transfer RNA (tRNA) molecules are approximately 80 nucleotides in length. Their secondary structure includes four short double-helical elements and three loops (D, anti-codon, and T loops). Further hydrogen bonds mediate the characteristic L-shaped molecular structure. tRNAs have two regions of fundamental functional importance: the anti-codon, which is responsible for specific mRNA codon recognition, and the 3' end, to which the tRNAs corresponding amino acid is attached (by aminoacyl-tRNA synthetases). tRNAs cope with the degeneracy of the genetic code in two manners: having more than one tRNA (with a specific anti-codon) for a particular amino acid; and 'wobble' base-pairing, i.e. permitting non-standard base-pairing at the 3rd anti-codon position.
Source: RNAcentral
GGGGCCGUAGUUCAGUUGGGAGAACACUUGACUGGCAGUCAAGAGGUCACGGGUUCGAGCCCCGUCGGCUCCACCA